This 726-nucleotide long non-coding RNA is filed under the name Ananas comosus (pineapple). RNAcentral describes it as "long non-coding RNA (ACOM_LNC029423)". The record is from RNAcentral. Lineage: Eukaryota; Viridiplantae; Streptophyta; Magnoliopsida; Poales; Bromeliaceae.
UUCGCGAUGAGUUAGUCGGGAGAGGGUGUCAUGCCCCGGGGUCCCUUUUUGGAUUUAAAAUCAAUGCGGAAGUGCAAAUUUUUUUUUUCUUUUGAAAAUCUUGACCCCAGAGGAUGUCAGAUCUGCCACAAAUAUAAGGUAUCCACUGUUCACACUGACAGAGUUUCCCCUGCAUUUACAUGGCGUCACACAAGUACAAGAUACAAUCACAUAGUAUGAACAUCCACAUACAAUCACCAUUCACAUACAUCAUUCACAUCCAUCACAGUUUAUUAUAAAUCCACAUCUAUUAAUUUAAAACGUUUUCUACUCAGAAACUCAUUUUGAAAUACUAAGAAUCAUAAAAACAAAAAAAAACCUUUUUAAAACCGUUUCCCACACUGAAACCUUUUUCUUUAAAAACACGCUAUCACGAAAGGUAAAAAACCGUUUUCAUCUCAUAAGAAAAACCAUAAAUACUUUAUUACAUUAAAAAACCAUAUGAAUUCAAAUAAAGUAAACCAACUGACCCAUAAAGUGUCUAAAUUAUUUAUUUGAAUAAGCAAUGAUAGAAACUAGACCGAAUGUCACCGGGCCAGAAACUCUAUCGACCGCAAUACCUAAAAAUGGUAGGGGGGUGAGAACAUGUACACAUGUCUCCCCUCCCAGUGGGUACUGCAAGCUGACGAAGGUGAGGAGUACUUACCGGUACAAGAAGAGAUAAUCAAAGUCAUGAGCAUAUAACAC